GAUGCCCCUUGAGGCGUUGCAGCCCAACUGUUACCGUUGGCAGCUGUGUCAUAAGGUGGCAAAGAGCAUGGGUGGUGUUCUCCACUGAGACUCUACAUCACACGGAUGUCUCAGAAUUAUUUCACCACCAACACU
Molecule: small nucleolar RNA, 135 nt
Organism: Takifugu rubripes (torafugu)
Lineage: Eukaryota; Metazoa; Chordata; Actinopteri; Tetraodontiformes; Tetraodontidae
Product: small nucleolar RNA SNORA17
Source: Ensembl